UGAUGGCGAGUGGCGAACGGGUGAGUAAUACAUCGGAACGUGCCCUGGGGUGGGGGAUAACUAGUCGAAAGAUUGGCUAAUACCGCAUACGACCUGAGGGUGAAAGUGGGGGACCGCAAGGCCUCAUGCUAUAGGAGCGGCCGAUGUCUGAUUAGCUAGUUGGUGGGGUAAAGGCCCACCAAGGCGACGAUCAGUAGCUGGUCUGAGAGGACGAUCAGCCACACUGGGACUGAGACACGGCCCAGACUCCUACGGGAGGCAGCAGUGGGGAAUUUUGGACAAUGGGCGAAAGCCUGAUCCAGCAAUGCCGCGUGUGUGAAGAAGGCCUUCGGGUUGUAAAGCACUUUUGUCCGGAAAGAAAUGGCUCUGGUUAAUACCUGGGGUCGAUGACGGUACCGGAAGAAUAAGGACCGGCUAACUACGUGCCAGCAGCCGCGGUAAUACGUAGGGUCCAAGCGUUAAUCGGAAUUACUGGGCGUAAAGCGUGCGCAGGCGGUUGUGCAAGACCGAUGUGAAAUCCCCCGAGCUUAACUUGGGAAUUGCAUUGGUGACUGCACGGCUAGAGUGUGUCAGAGGGGGGGUAGAAUUCCACGUGUAGCAGUGAAAUGCGUAGAGGAUGUGGAGGAAUACCGAUGGCGAAGGCAGCCCCCCUGGGAUAACACUGACGCUCAUGCACGAAAGCGUGGGGCAGCAAACAGGAAUUAGAUACCCUGGGUAGUCCACGGCCAUAAACGAUGUUCAACGUAGGUGGGUAGGGGAAUUCAGUUCCUUGAGUAACGUAGCCUGACACGCGGUGAUAGUUGGCACGGCAUGGGCGAAGUACGUCCGCUAGAGACUCAACACUCAA
This 847-nucleotide ribosomal RNA is filed under the name Ralstonia sp. RNAcentral describes it as "bacterial SSU rRNA". It matches the Rfam family "Bacterial small subunit ribosomal RNA", at positions 86 to 904 of the family's 1533-position model. The record is from RNAcentral. Lineage: Bacteria; Pseudomonadati; Pseudomonadota; Betaproteobacteria; Burkholderiales; Burkholderiaceae.